AGUGCGUCAUUGAAUUAGAGUGUUUGCCAGUCGCUUGUAAGCAGUAAAUGUAAGAAUAUGUACCAAGAAUUUGAAUUUCAAAAUAUGUCUUUUCUAUGAAUACGUUCCAAAAUACAGUUUUGCAUUUUAAUAUAUUUUUGAUGGAGAAUAAUUCCUGUCAUUUAUCGAAAUCAGAAAAAAUAUUAUUAUGGAUAUUUCGACGACUAACUAAGAGACCAAUAAGAGUCUAAUCUCCAGUACGUUUUUCUUGUUAUUGCGAAAUUUCAUCAUCGCAUCGCGGACUACAAAUCAGUCGCGAAUGCCAUAAAGAAAAUACUGUAGACUCCAUCUGAAUUCUGAUGAUCUUGGAGUUGAGACUUGAUUGGAAAUUUGGAUCCCGCUGCUGAUAAAUGUGGCAAAGGACUCAUUUAUCAAGUUUUAAUUUGAUCAUUCUCUUUCUAAAUAAGGACGACGUCUGGCCUCCAAUGGCCCCGAGAUUUUCCGAGCCACGCCCCUACACCCGGCAACCAAUCACAGACUUUGAUAUGCGUGACGCCCACAGGCAGUCGCAGCAACAAGAACAGUCUAAUAAUAACUGUGACAGUAGUAAUUUUGAUAAUCAGCAAUAACCAGGAGAGAGCCUGCAGGAGGAAAUUUGUGAAAUUUAAUCUUUACCUCAGAAGAAGGGUCUAUUUAUUUGUAUCUUGUACGUUCAUGUGUGAUCGACCUUUAGAUGUUUUUUAGUUGGAGUGCUGUCUUGCCUAUGCACAAAUAAUUACUCUCUCUGGAAGAGAAUGCUUUAGUCUGGAAAUUCAGCCCUUAUUUGAUCAACCAAUCAAAUCCCUCCUAAUUCUGCCAUUAAUUGGCCACCUACCAUGCUGCCAAUUUCCUGAUUGGUCAAUAUAUUUCAUCUUGCAUGCGACCCCAUCCACUCAUCCAAUUAAAUUGCCCAUCAUCAACACACCCUAAGCCAAGCUUAUCUUGAGAUUCAUCCAACAAGGCUUGUGAUUGGUCAAUUUCCCCAUUCCCUGAGCCAAUCCACCAAUCAUGGUUGGCCUACCACCGACUGAUAUUGUACCAUCCGUGGCUGUGAAGCUGGCCAGUGCUGGGCUGGGAGGGUGCAUAGCUGAUGUAAUAACCUUCCCACUGGACACAGCUAAAGUGCGCCUCCAGAUUCAAGGCGAGAGCGGAACCGACAAGAAAUCAUCGAAAGGCACCAUCGGCAAAGAAGCACGCGUCAACUUCAGAUACCGUGGGGUCUUCGGAACCAUAUGGACCAUCAUCCGCCAAGAGGGACCCCGUGGACUCUACAACGGUCUAAUCCCGGGACUCCAGCGCCAGAUGUGUUUCGCCUCGGUCCGCAUUGGUCUCUACGAUUCCGUCAAGGCUUUUUAUGCAGGUGCUCAAAAAGUUGAUUAUGGUGGUGUAAACAUCAUUACAAGAAUAAGCGCAGGCAUAACAACAGGAGCAUGCGCCGUACUCAGCGCCCAACCUACGGACGUUGUCAAGAUUCGCCUACAAGCCCAGGGCAAUGCGGUCCUAAAUGGCGCCCCCAAGAGGUAUACCGGUGCUAUCAACGCCUAUCAGACCAUCGCCAAGGAGGAGGGUGUCAGAGGUCUAUGGAAAGGAACAAUGCCCAACAUUGUCCGAAACUCCGUCGUCAACGCCAGCGAAGUCGUGGCCUACGACCUCAUCAAGGAGGCCAUCCUGAAACGCAGGCUACUCAAAGACGAGUUCCCCUGUCAUUUUAUCGCGGCUUUCGGCGCGGGGUUUGUCACCACGUGCGUCGCCACCCCGGUGGAUGUCGUGAAAACGAGAUUCAUGAACUCCAGCCCGGGUCAUUACCGCGGAGCCAUGGACUGUGCCUCGCAGAUGUUCAAGAAAGAGGGUCUUACUGCUUUUUACAAAGGAUUCACGCCACAGUUUUUGCGACUGGGCUCCUGGAACAUUGUGAUGUUUGUAUGCUACGAGCAGCUUAAACGUGCCAUGAUCAUGUCCACGCAACACAGCUAAUACCAUCCCAUCGCUUCGGUGAUGUUGCUGCUGCUUUAAUUUGACCGUAAACCUUCCAUGGAACAUUGCGCUGUGUAUAUAAGAUGCUAUUGACCGGUGAUCUCUCUCUAAUUGGACUGAUGGUUCUUUGUUCGUGAAGAAUUAUAGGUAUCAACUGGAGAAACGUUCUAGCCUUUCAUAGCCUUUGCUCUUACCAAAAAUCUUGAUUGUCUCUGAUUGCCCUGUAUUGAGUACCGAAUGCAGUCAAACCAAUGUACAUGUAUAAUAGACGCUCUGACUGGGGGGUCAUUCUCUAUUUAAAUGAAAUGACGAAAGAAAGAAAUAUAGAUGUCAACUGGAGAAAGGCUUUCACCUUCCAUCUAUUGUUGCUCUUACCAAAAAUCCUGAAAAUUUAUGAUUGCUCCAUAUUGAGUACCAAACUCUACCAAAUCGGUGUAUAAAAGAUGCUAUUGACCGGUAGUCUUUUCGGAUUGACCGAUGGUUUUUGGAGGCGAAAGAAAUAAAGUGUCAACUGGAAAUUGUAUGGAGAGGUGACUACUGCAUGAAGUGACCUCGUAAUAGACUAGCAGCUGAGUCAGCUGACCGGUAUUGACCAAUAGCCUCGAUGCAGAGGCUGUCUCUGUGAACAGGCUGUGAUGCUCCUGCUUCAUGUCAUCUGGCAGAAAUCUUGGUCUAGCAUUACCUUACUGGGACCAUGUACCUCAAGUAGGUCCACGCUUGGACCGUGUCUCGGCUGCAGAUGUACUGUAUGGACUGUUCUAUUACCAGUAUUAGGGAUGGUCAGCCUUGCUUUAUGAGGAACACACUGGACAAUUAUUGAAUCAUAAUCCUCUAUGAUUAUUUGCUUAAGUUCUUUCCUAUUAAUACAUAGCGUAUCUUCUUUAUCCUUACUCUAGACAUGUAUGAUGUGAUUGGCAUUAUUUUAUUUGAGAAUUAAGGUACCAUUUAUACUUAAAAAAGUGUAUUUGCUUUGAAGAUGUGCAGUUACAUGUAGGCAGUAUCACUUGCAAGAAAAAAAUAUUUACUCUAAUCAUUAAACUGCGGCAGUACAUAUACAGCACCUGUUCAGUAGCUAUCUAAUCCUACCAAUGCAUGGUAAUGAUUAGCAAACAGUCCCUAAGCUUUUUGUUUAUUUUUGACAAUGGAAUUUCAUGGGUCAGGCCAGGGUAAGAAUAUUAAUCUGUGAACUUGCAGUGUCAUUGGAACCAUAGGAUGGGAAAGUUAUUCUUGAGCUAAAAGUUCAUUGAUGUUUUUCUUCUUAGACCUUGGGCUAAUCUUUGGAAGAGUUGCGUUUGAAUGCAGGUCAAACAAUCAGUCGCAAAUGCCAAAUCCAUGAUUUUGAUUGGUUGGAAACCAAGUAGAUUGUUAGAGUUGCACUCAAACUCUUCUCAGAAAAAGCAAAUGCUAGUCACAAGUGCGCACUGCUCAUCGGUUGAAAACAAAAUUGUGUUCGAUUCUUGGAGAUCUAUGCGUUCGAUUGCAACUCAAUCUGCAACAGGCCCUCGCCCCAGGGGCCCAGUUUCAUAAAGAGAAGCAGUUGAUAUUUACAAUCAAUUUUAACCUUUUAUACAUGAUUUGCCAUAGGCUUAUAAUUGUGCUUUAUUGUGGAAUUGAUUGGACAUUUAAUGAUAAUACCAGGGCUUGCUUUGCCAUACCGUGGUAAAAUGAAGUGAGUAAGCAACAAGAAUGGGAAUGGUUUAUUUGUCUUCUAAAAGAGCAAACUUAAUCUGUCAUUUGUGCGUUGUUGUUGCAAUACAGUACCAUCAUGCUUUGCCUAACACAGCAGGGUGAGAGUUGAUGAAUAAGAUUGGACCUAGGAGAAGAACUUGCUAGGUAAUUGUGAAUAUUGUUCCACAAUUCCCUUCGUCUGACUGGCAAAUUUUCUUUGUCAGAGUGGCUGUUUGGAAAGUAAUUUUUCUCCAGGAAGCUUGAACUUCGGGGAGCUCUCUUCUAGGACUGAUACAAUCAACUGUGGCAAUGUGUUCAUGUUUGAAUCGUAUGUACUUGAAGUUGAAAUCACUCAGUCAUGCGUUAAUUAUACAAAUAUUGACUGCUCAUGAGGGUAAUAGUAAAAACUAUUGCCCCAAAUUCAUCCCUCGACUAUAGGCCUGCUAUUUUUCCCUGAAGGAAAAUAGUAAGCCUAGAGUUGCAAGGUCAUUGAGGGUAAUGGUUUUUACUAUUGACUGAAUAAAAGUGCAGUUAGUAUAUUUUAUAUACCAAUUAUUUUUUGAGCCGGGCAAUAGUAAAAACUAUUGACCUGCUCAAAGGAUGCCAAUUCUGUAGAAUGGAUUCAUAUUAAAGAAUGUUGGUAUAAAUAACCAUUUUUAAUGCACAAAUCAGGAUAUGAAUUAUCUUUCCCUCCUUCCAGGGAGAAGUGUAUUGAACAGGGUAUUUUUUCUUAAUUGUGUGAUUGUAUAAAUUGUAAAAUAGGAUGUUUAACAUGUAUGAAAUGUAAAAGGGAAUAUGGGAUUGUCCUUUAAUUGAGUGAAUACACUAUGUUAGUGACUAUGGCCCGUAUUCUGAAGUCGGGUUUAACUUAAACUCAGGUUUAAAGUUGUGGUUUAAAAUACGGGCCUAUGUGUUGUAUUUAUCACUGUAAGGAGCUUUCGUCUUGUACAACGUCUGCUUCUAUGACGAUGAAAUUCCCGAUUGAACCAUCUACGCAUGUGGAGUGUUUCGGGGGCGAAUCGGUGUUAUGCUGAAAGUAAUGACAAGACCAUAUAAUUUUAGCCACAUGAUAAUGUGUCAAUGAAAAGUGUAAACUCUGUAAUACUGAAGGCAUAGACAUAAUUGUCAACAGUCAAAGAAGCAUUCGUCGUGCAAAGGAAAGACGCAGUACCCGGUACAUCUUGUGUAGCAUGAUAGCUACAUGUACAUGUAAACAAUAAUGCCCCAAUUAAAGCAAAGUGAGACAAAUGACAAAGAAGAAAAUUUAUUACCCAUUUUAUACAUGUUACAUACUAGCUACAGUAUCUGCAAAAAAAAAUAAUUUAAAAAAAUGUUGCUGAAAUUUUUCUUAUAUAAUUGUUAUAUAAUGGCAAAAUUAUGUGAAUUUGGGUAAGUGUAUUUAAAAUUACUUUGCUUCCUGCUUGAAACUCUUUAUUUUGAAACUAUUUCGUGGAUAGGAAUGUACUGCAAUAUUACUGUGAUAUUGCAUCAAGCAAACUCAUAAUUAAACUUCUAAGAGUGUCUGUUUAAAGUGUUGCCCUGAUGGAGGGCUUACACUGUAUAUUUUAUGAUGAUUAUAAUGAUAACAACAAUAAUAGAAGUUAUCAAUAACUCUAAUUUAUGCUGAUAAGUUACUUGCUUUGAUUCCCAAAAGCAGGCUUUGAUUUCAAAGGAGUAAAGAAAAUGGAUCUCGUACGUUGACUUUAUUUAAAUGAAUGAAUAGCUGGACUAUUUCCAUACUGCAGACCAUUUGAAUAUCAUUAUUUUUUUAAACAUGUUUUGCAGUUGAAAAAAUAAUCAACAUUGCCAUCUCAAUGUAGAAUACAACAGAAUAUGUGGGGAUUUUAGUCAUAGACUUCAUGUAUUUAUUUGAUAAUCAUGAUCUAUAAUUCUCUUCGGGAUUUAAAUGUUUAUCGCAAAAAGUAUCCACAAUUCAUUGAUUUUAAAGUUCAUAUUAAAUUGAUUUUUGAAAAUUUUAUUAAAGAUAUUUAUAUUAGAAAUAAUAAUAUAUGAUAAUACUGGUGGUGAUGAUGAUGAUGGCAAGAUUGAAAAUGGUAGUGACAAUUCUUAAAGUUGAAAUGAUAAAAAUAUUGAUGCUCUUAAAAUAUUCUUUUGAUAAUAUAUAGAAUGAUUUAGUGUAUGAGAAUUAUUAUAUAACUCUCUAUGCACUUAUAUACAUGUACAUGUACAUGUAUGUCAUUUUUAGCCUGAUGCGUUUUCUCUUUGGUCAUAUUCAAUGUAUUUCUGCAUGUAUUAAAGGUAAACACCAAUACUUAUGAAUUAUAUAAUUGUUGCAUUGUCGUAUAAACCAUAUAGUUCAUGCUUUCAUUAUAAAUUCUCAGUAAAACCGAGAGUUGUAUAUGUAGUGCAAUCGAGGAAGAAAAGUAGUAUGGUAGUGAAAUGGAUUUGAAUGAAAUAUUGUUUGCGUGUAUUUUGCUUGUGUAGAAAAUAUUGAAUGAUUUCAUGUUUUAUAGCUGGAUUAUUUAUGAAUUAUUCAGCAGUUUAGAUGUUGGAGUAUUUGGUAAAUUUUAUAGAAUUGUGUAAUAAUAAUAGUUUGCACAAUAUUUUAUUCAUGUAUGGAAAGAUUGUGUACUUUGUAUGUUAUGUUGUAAGAGGUCAUGUAUUUGUGUAGUAGAAAUGUAGAAUACUUUAUACUUCCUAAAAAAUUAUUAACAUCUCUGUAUAUAUUACUUUAUCAUAUUUUAACAGGUCUUUACAUUGAAAGCUGUUCUUGCUUUAUAAUCUCACAUGAUAAUGUUGUAAAUAAGAUCAUAUUUUGUGCAUUAUAUGCAUUCUAAUGAUUAAUGAAAUAUAAAAAAAGAAGCGUUUAA
Molecule: RNA transcript, 6491 nt
Organism: Lytechinus pictus (painted urchin)
Lineage: Eukaryota; Metazoa; Echinodermata; Echinoidea; Temnopleuroida; Toxopneustidae
Gene name: dicarboxylate carrier SLC25A8-like
Exons: 8
Source: RefSeq, a predicted model, not a curated record